AACGCAUAUUGCGCCCUUUGGUAUUCCGAAGGGCAUGCCUGUUCGAGCGUCAUUAUAACCACUCAAGCCUUCGCUUGGUAUUGAGGCUCGCGACCCCGCGGCCCCUAAACUCAGUGGCGGUGCCUGUCGGCUCUACGCGUAGUAAUACUCCUCGCGUCUGGGUCCGGUAGGUUGCCUGCCAGCAACCCCCAAUUUUUUACAGGUUGACCUCGGAUCAGGUAGGGAUACCCGCUGAACUUAA
Molecule: unclassified non-coding RNA, 241 nt
Filed under: uncultured fungus
Lineage: Eukaryota; Fungi
Description: sequence contains ITS2
Rfam family: 5.8S ribosomal RNA (bases 1-52)
Source: RNAcentral